RNAcentral lists this transfer RNA (85 nucleotides) under Cyanobacteria bacterium UBA11372. RNAcentral describes it as "tRNA-Tyr". It matches the Rfam family "tRNA". From Rfam's summary of the family: Transfer RNA (tRNA) molecules are approximately 80 nucleotides in length. Their secondary structure includes four short double-helical elements and three loops (D, anti-codon, and T loops). The record is from RNAcentral. Lineage: Bacteria; Bacillati; Cyanobacteriota. RNAcentral also lists the same sequence under 1 other name.
GGGUCGGUGGCUGAGUCAGGUUAAAAGCGGUGGUCUGUAAAACCAUCCUCUACGGAGUUCGCUGGUUCAAAUCCAGCUCGACCCA